This 532-nucleotide long non-coding RNA is filed under the name Salvia miltiorrhiza (redroot sage). RNAcentral describes it as "long non-coding RNA (SMIL_LNC010940)". Lineage: Eukaryota; Viridiplantae; Streptophyta; Magnoliopsida; Lamiales; Lamiaceae. The record is from RNAcentral.
CAACGGAUCCGAUUGGGAUUUGCGAUUUAUGAUUUCAGAGUUGGAGCUGUAAGUUUCGAUUCACAUGGGGUUUCAAGAGGACGAUGGGUGAGCGAGAUCUACAGUAGAUUUCUAAGAAUUUUUCUGGUGUUUUACGAGAGAGAGGGAGAUCAAUUUUUUUGAGAUUUUUCUUCGCGAUUGGGAUGGGGGCUGUCGGAUCUGUGAGAGAACAGCCGUGGAAGUCGGCGGACCAUGAUUCAACAAGGAAAUGAAGGCAUUUCAGAUAUUUUCUGGUGAAAUUGGUGAUCGAAGCUAGUGAGAGCUGCGGUUGAAAGAUAGCUGCGGUAGAGAGAGAGAGCUGCGGAACUGAGAGUUUCAAUUUUUUCACCAGAGAUUCUCGGUGAGAAUUUUUAGAUUUGUGAGAAUAAUGACAGAUCGAUGGAUGCCGGAGAGAGGGAUGGCCAUUUUGGGAGAGAAAAUUGAAAUUGAGAUGCCUCGGCCAUUGUCGCCGGAAACUGGGAAAGGAACAGCCGGAAUAUUUUACAGAUCCCCC